CUCAAAUAAGGGAAAUGCGAAGAAACCUUGGUCAGUACUCGAGGCAUUUUCUGUAUUCUAGUCCAGCUCAGUCCUUGGGUCCGGAAGACUUAGUCUGGAGAAUGAUGGCUGGUAAAUUGGUGAAUAUCAAACUUCACACUCGAAGAUCACAGCGUGUGGUGAAAGAGUCUAGGAGCAUAUGUACUUGUGAUUGUAAACGUGCGAACUUUACAGGUCCCAAUAUAGUGUAGGUUUAUAUCCACACGUGAAAGAAUGAUUUCAAAUAACAGAGAUCUUAACCUACACUAUAUUGGGAC
RNAcentral lists this unclassified non-coding RNA (296 nucleotides) under Hevea brasiliensis (rubber tree). The record is from RNAcentral. Lineage: Eukaryota; Viridiplantae; Streptophyta; Magnoliopsida; Malpighiales; Euphorbiaceae.